Molecule: ribosomal RNA, 113 nt
Filed under: Chironemus georgianus
Lineage: Eukaryota; Metazoa; Chordata; Actinopteri; Centrarchiformes; Chironemidae
Description: partial 16S ribosomal RNA
Source: RNAcentral
CGAGAAGACCCUAUGGAGCUUCAGACACCAAGGUACACCAUGUUAAACACCCCUGCAUAAAGGGUAAGACCAGAUGAGACCUAUCCUAAUGUCUUUGGUUGGGGCGACCAAGG